CCGGGCUUGUUCAAACUGGUCUGUGCUUCUCCUUGAACUGUAUCUUUGAGAAGGAGAUUUCUCAACAGUUGAUAUGAACUUCUUCAGAUGCCUGAUAUACUCUGGAAAGUGCUCUAAAUCGCAGUGGUUCCCUCCUUUAAGCCAUAGUGGUUCAUAUUUUUCUUUACACAGUUCCCAGAGUUGCUUACCAUGGGAGCAAUCGACCACCUCAUCUGAAGUUCC
Molecule: unclassified non-coding RNA, 222 nt
Filed under: Hevea brasiliensis (rubber tree)
Lineage: Eukaryota; Viridiplantae; Streptophyta; Magnoliopsida; Malpighiales; Euphorbiaceae
Source: RNAcentral